RNAcentral lists this long non-coding RNA (260 nucleotides) under Lathyrus oleraceus (garden pea). Its description in RNAcentral is "Pisum sativum (pea) long non-coding RNA (PSAT_LNC036574)". Lineage: Eukaryota; Viridiplantae; Streptophyta; Magnoliopsida; Fabales; Fabaceae. The record is from RNAcentral.
AUCGCACCUUACUAAUAUAGAACAUGCACCUCACGUAGACGAAACCUACAUUAUUCGAUACUAGUCUUGAUGAGUGCUAAAACUUGGAAAGCACAAACUUACUAUCUAAUUUGAGGAAAUUUACAAUUAUUUUGAUCUACCGGCUUAUUUAUCAUAUAAAUCAUCUCUCACAUGCAUCAACAUACAUACAAAAUGAAACAGUUAUGACCCCUAACACAAUUGUUCUCCCAAGCCAAUGAGAGAACCUAAGCUAAUCUAAU